Small nucleolar RNA from Mercurialis annua (annual mercury), 96 nucleotides. RefSeq annotates it as small nucleolar RNA R44/J54/Z268 family. The transcript has a single exon. NCBI's taxonomy places the organism in Eukaryota, Viridiplantae, Streptophyta, Magnoliopsida, Malpighiales, Euphorbiaceae. The record is from RefSeq and is a predicted model, not a curated record.
AAUGCAAGUGAUGAUAAACAGACAGGGACAUCAGAAACUCCUUCGGGAGUAUGAAUAUGAUGACUUAAGUCUAAAUGGGAAUCUCUCUGAUGCUUA